Molecule: ribosomal RNA, 496 nt
Filed under: uncultured bacterium
Lineage: Bacteria
Description: partial 16S ribosomal RNA
Rfam family: Bacterial small subunit ribosomal RNA
Source: RNAcentral
GAUGAACGCUGGCGGCGUGCCUAAUACAUGCAAGUCGAGCGAACGGACGAGAAGCUUGCUUCUCUGAUGUUAGCGGCGGACGGGUGAGUAACACGUGGAUAACCUACCCAUAAGACUGGGAUAACUUCGGGAAACCGGAGCUAAUACCGGAUGAUAUUUUGAACCGCAUGGUUCAAAAGUGAAAGACGGUCUUGCUGUCACUUAUAGAUGGAUCCGCGCUGCAUUAGCUAGUUGGUAAGGUAACGGCUUACCAAGGCAACGAUGCAUAGCCGACCUGAGAGGUGAAUCGGCAACCUGGAAACUGGAGCACGGCCCAACCCCCAGAGGGAGGGAGCGAAAGGAAUCUUGCACAAAGGGGGGAAAGCCAGACGGAGCAACGCCGCGGGAGUAAGAAAGUGUUGGGGUGUGAAAAACCCUUUUAUAAGGGAAAAAAAAAGUUUGAAGUAACGGUGCCAUUUUGGGCGGAACAGAAAAAAAAAGCCGCGGUUAAUUAGUG